Molecule: non-coding RNA, 88 nt
Organism: Exocentrus adspersus
Lineage: Eukaryota; Metazoa; Arthropoda; Insecta; Coleoptera; Cerambycidae
Source: the annotation of a GenBank genome assembly
GGACAUGUACUCAAGUGGCUGAAGAGAAUACCUUGGAAAGGUAUUAGGUCGUGCAAAUGGAGCGGGGGUUCAAAUCCCGCCAUGUCCG